AGCGAACGCUGGCGGCAGGCCUAAACAUGCAAGUCGAACGGAUCCUUCGGGGAUUAGUGGCGGACGGGUGAGUAACACGUGGGAACGUGCCUUUGGUUCGGAACAACUCAGGGAAACUUGAGCUAAUACCGAAUGUGCCCUUCGGGGGAAAGAUUUAUCGCCAUUAGAGCGGCCCGCGUCUGAUUAGCUUGUUGGUGAGGUAAAGGCUCACCAAGGCGACGAUCAGUAGCUGGUCUGAGAGGAUGAUCAGCCACACUGGGACUGAGACACGGCCCAGACUCCUACGGGAGGCAGCAGUUAGGAAUCUUGCGCAAUGGGGGAAACCCUGACGCAGCCAUGCCGCGUGAAUGAUUAAGGUCUUAGGAUUGUAAAAUUCUUUCAGCGGGGACGAUAAUGACGGUACCCGCAGAAGAAGCCCCGGCUAACUUCGUG
Molecule: ribosomal RNA, 432 nt
Filed under: uncultured bacterium
Lineage: Bacteria
Description: bacterial SSU rRNA
Rfam family: Bacterial small subunit ribosomal RNA
Source: RNAcentral